UUAGGUGAUGGGUGCUUUUCGUCAUUGCCUCCAAUACCACUGAAAUUAGGGAAUGGACAUCCACAACUUCUGAUAACACUGUCUUGAAGAAGGAAAAGUAUCUAAAUGAACAUACUUUAUAGCAGAAACUACAAUACUUCUAGAAGAGGUGAAUAGUGAAUGCCUUGCAGGAGGAGCUGCAGUGGGCAAGUGAGCUUCCUGGAGAUGACCCACCAUUUUGCACAGCUAUGAUGGGUGAAUCCUGGAAAGGCAUGGCUCCAGGAGCUUUGCCCCAGCAUUGCUUCUGGCUGCUGAUGUACCUUCUCAUGCAUUUCAUUGCUAGACUAUUUUCAUAUGAAAACAGAAAACAGAAGUCUAGUGUACUUAUUCCCACAGAGCCUUCACAUUCUGAACAUAUUUUAAUCUUGUUUAUGGCAUAAAUAAAAAUGCAUCAUCACA
Molecule: long non-coding RNA, 438 nt
Organism: Mastomys coucha (southern multimammate mouse)
Lineage: Eukaryota; Metazoa; Chordata; Mammalia; Rodentia; Muridae
Exons: 3
Source: RefSeq, a predicted model, not a curated record